RNAcentral lists this transfer RNA (81 nucleotides) under Apaloderma vittatum (bar-tailed trogon). It matches the Rfam family "tRNA". From Rfam's summary of the family: Transfer RNA (tRNA) molecules are approximately 80 nucleotides in length. Their secondary structure includes four short double-helical elements and three loops (D, anti-codon, and T loops). Lineage: Eukaryota; Metazoa; Chordata; Aves; Trogoniformes; Trogonidae. The record is from Rfam by way of RNAcentral.
GGCUGGUUAGCUCAGUGGGUUGAGCGCGGUGCUACCAACAGUGACAACAGUGGGGUCGUGGGUUCGAUUCCCACUCAGUCC